CCUACGGGAGGCAGCAGUGAGGAAUAUUGGUCAAUGGGCGCGAGCCUGAACCAGCCAAGUCGCGUGAGGGAAGACGGUCCUAUGGAUUGUCAACCUCUUUUGUCGGGGAGCAAAAGACGCCACGCGUGGCGUUACGAGAGUACCCGAAGAAAAAGCAUCGGCUAACUCCGUGCCAGCAGCCGCGGUAAUACGGAGGAUGCGAGCGUUAUCCGGAUUUAUUGGGUUUAAAGGGUGCGCAGGCGGAAGAUCAAGUCAGCGGUAAAAUUGAGAGGCUCAACCUCUUCGAGCCGUUGAAACUGGUUUUCUUGAGUGAGCGAGAAGUAUGCGGAAUGCGUGGUGUAGCGGUGAAAUGCAUAGAUAUCACGCAGAACUCCGAUUGCGAAGGCAGCAUACCGGCGCUCAACUGACGCUCAUGCACGAAAGUGUGGGUAUCGAACAGGAUUAGAUACCCUAGUAGUC
This 459-nucleotide ribosomal RNA is filed under the name uncultured bacterium. RNAcentral describes it as "partial 16S ribosomal RNA". It matches the Rfam family "Bacterial small subunit ribosomal RNA", at positions 338 to 795 of the family's 1533-position model. The record is from RNAcentral.